Molecule: ribosomal RNA, 473 nt
Filed under: uncultured bacterium
Lineage: Bacteria
Description: bacterial SSU rRNA
Rfam family: Bacterial small subunit ribosomal RNA
Source: RNAcentral
ACUCCUACGGGAGGCAGCAGUGGGAAUUUUGGACAAUGGGCGAAAGCCUGAUCCAGCAAUGCCGCGUGUGCGAAGAAGGCCUUCGGGUUGUAAAGCACUUUUGUUAGGGAAGAAAUCUUCCGGGCCAAUACCCGUCGGUGAUGACGGUACCUUUCGAAUAAGCACCGGCUAACUACGUGCCAGCAGCCGCGGUAAUACGUAGGGUGCAAGCGUUAAUCGGAAUUACUGGGCGUAAAGCGCAUGCAGGUGGUUUGUUAAGUCAGAUGUGAAAGCCCGGGGCUCAACCUCGGAAUAGCAUUUGAAACUGGCAGACUAGAGUACUGUAGAGGGGUGGAGAAAUUUCAGGUGUAGCGGUGAAAUGCGUAGAGAUCUGAAGGAAUACCGGUGGCGAAGGCGGCCCCUCGGACAGAUACUGACACUCAGAUGCGAAAGCGUGGGGAGCAAACAGGAUUAGAUACCCCGUAGGCUCUGCU